This 21-nucleotide non-coding RNA is filed under the name Caenorhabditis elegans. Lineage: Eukaryota; Metazoa; Nematoda; Chromadorea; Rhabditida; Rhabditidae. The record is from RNAcentral.
UUGUCGAUCUUUUGAAUUCUU